Molecule: long non-coding RNA, 7356 nt
Organism: Labrus mixtus (cuckoo wrasse)
Lineage: Eukaryota; Metazoa; Chordata; Actinopteri; Labriformes; Labridae
Exons: 2
Source: RefSeq, a predicted model, not a curated record
AAAAAUGAUGUUAAUGAUUGUCAGAAUUGUCAGAACAAAAGAUUUGAACGUUUAAUAGACAGAAGGAGUGCUUGUUUAAAGUGACUGUUGUGGUUUCAUAAACUAUCGUAGCAGCACAUAGCAGCUGUAUCUUCAUAUAUACGCUAAUGAUAGUGCUGCCAGUAUGAUUGCACCUCCACACAUCCCAGCUGUGAGUGUGUUGUUUGUGCUAACAGUGCUGAAUGUUUCCCCGCUGAGUUUUCAAGCUUGAAGGAAGAGCUCUCCGGUCAGAAUCUCCUCUCGUUAGUUCCCACCUCUUUACCUCCUCAGUGUGAGGCUGAGCCGUUCGUUGUUAAGCAGAGGUAUUUAUUAAACCUGUUAGCUCUGUGCAGCGGGGGGAGGUGGGCCUGGCUUCCUGUGGUGCCGUAGCCGCACAGGAAUGCAGGAUUAAUGACACCUGUACAGGCUUCAGUCCACUAACACCCACUCCGCACAGCGCAGCACAGAAACUCUAAUUACAACCCGAGGCUCUCUGCACAUCACCGGCGAUCAUUUGCGCCAGUAAAAGCGAGACGCUUUAAAGAAGUCCAUUCAUUCCGCACCGGGUGUUAAUGGCUGCUGAGGGUAAUGUGAGAUUUCACCUGUAGUGAUGCACACCAGCUGAGACCGGAUGGAUGAAUGGGAGGGCACAGUGAGAGAGAGAGAGAGAGUGCUGCAAAAAAUCUCCCUAACAAGUGGUUUAGUCUCAUACGGAGCCCUGCAGCUCGGAACAAAGCAGAAAUCAGCCUGGAGAGGGAGAUUGCUCCACUUGUUACCAUUACAAACAGAUGUUUUCUUACUUCGUCUUACGUCCAGUGAAGCCCCGUUAUACAACUGAGUAAAAGAGCAAAUAAUUGCACAUUUUCUUUUAUCAUUAAUUCCUUGUCCAACUUGCAAAAUGGCCAUUAAUCAGAAAAUGAAAUGACUCUGAAAAUUGAAAUCUCCACUCUUCAUGUACGUAGAUGAAUAUGAAGGAUGAUCAUGCUCUGUUUUGAGCAUGUCAUUUAGCUUAUUAGCCAAAUAUGGCUCUUAUGAUGGCUUCUUGUGUGACCAUAUGAGCAGAUUUCUAUUUUGUUUAGUUUCAAAAAAAUUGCAUCGAAGGUUUAAGAUAAUGUGUUUUCAUAGAAAAUGUAACAAAGCUCUCUGGUACAAAAAAACUCACAUCCAUUUGGUAAAAUGUUGCCUGCAGACACUCUCUGGUUUUCCAUUGUUUGCUGCUGUCUGGCAUCAUCAUAAAACAUGUAUGAGGACGUAUCCUUGAUAUGAAUGGAAGAUUGGAAGGCUCUGCACAUACGAGCUGAAGGAGUACACUCACUCACUUGUGAAUUCUCCCCACAAUUACCUGCACUGUUUACACAUCAGCUCAAAGUGCAUGAAAUGGACUUUGUACUACAGAGGUUGGCAGAUUAAAGUCUCUUCAAUGUCUAGUUAACUGACUCAGACACCAGGGUUAUAACAUGCAGCUCCUCUGGGUGAUGUCCAGACAAGGUCAGUAGGACAGAGCAAGUGUGUGUGUGUGUGUGGGGACUUCUGUUAAGAUAGUAAGUCCAAAAAGAAGUCAAUCUCACCUCUUCAGGGCGUAAGACUCCCCCUGAUUUCAUUUUGUUUCAACAAAAGUAUUCAUUUCUGGAAACUUUCUGCAACAAAGAAAGCUUCUGUGGAAACAAGUGGGGAUUAUUUCUCCCGUUCUGGCAGCGAUGUCUCGACGGCUGGGUAUGAAAUUAAAUGACUUGUCAUUUGUUUUGUUUUUUUGCAGCGUGUGUGAAGUGAACAUCCAGCCCGCAGAAUCACUGAGGGAACAUCAAAGCGACGCCGCUGGGCUGCGACGCCUUCGAGGCUAAAAAAAACCCGAAGCAAAAUCGGCCGUCUUCUGGGUCACGUCGGGGUCACACUAUCUCGUUUUAUUUGGCAAACAAUCGGCUUCAAUGAGCGUGUCGGACGGUUAAUCCCCCCCGCUUUCCACCACUUUAUUUUUAUCCUUUUUGAACGCCGUGCUCUCCCAUUUCUGCUGUGCCGCUUAAUUGCUUUUUAUUGUUCCCACAUUUGUUUGUAGUGUGUUGGAAGUCAAUGAGCAAGAUGUUAGCGCGAUUCAAAAACACCAUUCCUCCGCUCUCUGAAGGUGAUUUGAUUUAUUGUCGCCAUAUCUGCCUGUUCAGAAACCACACGCACAUAAAAACACACACACACACACACAGAGUCACUGUAUUCCCCUGCAGAUAAAUCAACCAUCAUUCAACCAACGUUCAGACCCUCCCUGCGACAGAGAUUUAGAGUUCACGGGCGCCACCGCGGUCCCUCGUGCUCCUCGUCUUCCUCUGGUGAUUUAACGCCGACGCUCAGAGCUCUGAUUGAUUAUUUACGGCCUAACAUGGAGGUCCACAUUGACUCUCCUCCUUCCUUUUCCCAUGGCCACGUUUCGCCGUUUCACGGUAAACAAGUCAUUUUUUUCCCCCCUCCUCUCCCUGACGCCGGCGCACGGCCCGACCAGCCGCUGGCCUCCCAGGUGGCCGCUGUGUUCUGCUGUCUCAGGUAAAGACAGAGGAGAGAGGUCGAAGUCAUAUAGUGCAAGUUUAACCUCAACUCUUUGGCACCAAUUAACCCCAGAGGAAGAAAAGUAACCUCUGGUGACAUCUGGUGACCUCCUCAAGCUUUUGCUGCUUGCACCUCACAGCACUGCAAAGACCGCUCGUGUGUGUCUGUGUGUUUGUACAUGUGCCUACUGAGAGAUUCAAAUACCCUACAUGGCCAAAAGUACGUGGACAGUCGGUCCAUCAUGUCUCAUGCCAUGUGAGGCCCAUUAAUGUUGGACACAGAAGCUCUAGAAAUGUCAACUUGGCAGGGAGGCUUUGAGUAAGUCUUGCUGAGCAUGAACAGAGAAUUUGUGAAAACUAGAAACAAUCUACAGUUUUCCCUUGAGUCAAAAGUUGCAAUUACUGUGUUGCAUUUCCAGCUAUGAGACUGCACAUGUCUGCAGAGUUAAAGUACAAUACAAACAGUACGUGUAUGUGUAAAGACAGUCUUAAGGCCUCCUGUCAGGCUACAAACACUUCCUGCUCCCUGAAGGAACCAAUGAAACCCCCAAAACAACUCCCUAAUCCCCACCAUCAACACAACCACCAGCAGCUAGCUACCCAUCAGCCCCCAGGAGAGCUGCUGUCACACACACUGACAACCUCUGUGAGUGUGUGUGUGUGUGUGUGUGUGUGUCAGGUGUGUCUGCAUGCAGAGCAUCCACCUUUUGUUCUACUGCCAUCACAUUUAAAGUCAAAUCAGUGACUGGCGGACUGGUGUUUGUGUUUCUCACAUCAGCAACGUUUUACACAGAACAAUCUGAGAGACAAACAGUCGAUAAAACAGAGAUGUGAUGGCUCAUCUUCAGUCAGCUGCUGCUCCUCCUCACAACAUGUCAUGCUUUACCAGAUAUCUCAGUAAGGCACUUUUAUUGUCUUCAAAUAUUUAAAGGUAAAAGCUAUUGAUCAUAAGUUUGGAAUUCAAAAGGACAAUGCAUGUCAGAUCUGAAUCCACAUGAAUCUUCUUUAUUAUUUUAAAAACACAACACUGACUUAUCUUCUAAACCGCUCCUCCUCUUACUCUAAAAUAAUCCCCAAUCGCUGCUUUACAAUACAAAUGCGGUCCUUAAUGUAAAAUGCUUUUUCUAUUUUCAAGCAAAGUGCUUUGCCGCUCAAACCCGCUGGUUUAUCCUUGAUUUAUUAUUAAUACAGAGUGCACUAGUUCACUUCUAAAACACUUCAUAGACUUACUGAUUUAUGACUUAAAUGCAUAAAUGUCUUCAAAAAACACUUUGGUUUACUUUUAGGAACUUAUUGGUUUACUACUGACGGGCAUUAUUUAUGUAUGAAUCCACUGCUGUGCUUACAGAGAAAUGUCUAGAACACAGACUGCGUCUCAAAUUGUUGAUUUUGUUUUCAAUUAAGGUCAGUUUCUUAAUGUUGCACUUAUCAGUGUGUCACACUCUAUCAAAUUAACUUCAAAAGAAUCAUUUGCUUGACUUACCCGCUGAAGAAUGUUCUCAACUCUGCAACUCUUCAGAGAUUUUAAGCUUCGUUUUUUGUUUAGUUUUAGUUUGGCGGGACAUACAUCCUGUCUGGUGACGUCACAGCGUUUCCAGCUGCAGCUCUCAUGAUCACGUGCAUGACAUUAAGCAUCAAGUAGCUGAAAAUCCAGAUGUUUGGCCCAGGAGUCGAUAGAGACACAACCUCAGAAUCAACUGGCUUUCAUCUGAACGAUAUCUGGAUAACCAAUAACAGAUACUUGGGCUUGGACCACCGCUUGUUUUCUUUUUUAUUCAAGUCCGACAGGCAACUUAAAGAGCAAAAAUUGGGAUGUUAUCAAGACACAACUUACUUGAAUGUAAAUGUAAUGAUAGCCUGGUUGACUCUCACAUCACAGAAAUGUUUCAACUCAAAGGAUUUCAGGAUCCAGGAUCCAUUUCUUUAUAUAUACAGAGCACACUUUGAGACGUAGUCUGUAUUUCCUACUUUUACUUCUUUGAUUAGUCGUGCUCUCCAGUUGUGAAAUCUUCUGCUCUCUUUUUGAAUCUCGUUGUCGUUGCUGUGAGUUCAGCUGUGGGUUGGAAUCUGCUCCUACAUGGCAGUUAAAAUGUGACUUUUUUGUUUUGUUUGUUUGUUGGUUUGUUUUUUUGGGUGUGUGCUGUGUACCAGAAGAUUCACUUUGUUUAAAGACACACACAGGAAUGAUUUUUUCUUCAAUGUUCCCCCUCCACUCUUCUCCUCAGUGUGACUGUCAGAGACACAAUGAGUCUGUCAGUCACUCUAAGACUCAUCUCUUCUCUCUGUCCACUUAUGAUCAGUGUGGAAUGAGUUUGGGCCUCUCAUGUCACUUUUGUUUCUAGGUUUGGGACUUUUGCAUUAAUGGUGUUAAGUCACAGAAUUAAGACCCAACUUUAAAAUGAUACGAAGACUAUCCAAAUGAGAGACACUGAAGUAUCUCAGUUAAGCUGCUGUGUUUUUUAGGGAUGUCUGUAUUCCAAAAUAAGAAUAUUCUGCAAACUUUUGCAAAGAUUUCGGCUCAUUUUCUUCACUCUGGAGGCAAGAAAACACAGCUUUCUUCAUCAGUAGAGUUCUUUUGGCACUGGAAAAUUAUAUUUUCUUUGGUAAAUUUGGACAAAAAGUUCCAGAUACCAACUGAAAUCCCUCAUGGUUUUUGUUUUCCUUUGCUUUGGUCCCCAGAAAUACCCACAUCUUUUCACACAAAUUAGUGCAACUUCUUUAAUGAAUUUCUUUGCACUCUCCUUGGCAAUUUCCAACCUCUCCCGAGUUUGUAGCCCACUUUUAUUUAAGACAUUUUUCGGUAACUAAGCACGAUUGGACUUUACCCUGGGUAGCUUCCUCAGACUACACAAGAGUAACUACAGAGCCACAAGAGACACUAUAUCACUAUCUUAGCAGAGGCUAGAGUAGUAUUCUCUAGACAUCUUAAUUCACUCUGACAUGAAAAAUCUGCAGAGUGCACCUUUCAUAAAACAUGAAUCUCCUCCAAACCUGACUGCUCUGAGGGCCUGUCACCUUUGUCUAUCUGUUUUCCAAACUGAUUAAUUCUCCUGACGAUGAGUGCCAAGUUUCUGUCUCUGGUAGGAGCACUAGAAAUCACAUUUUCUAUGGGCAACAAUUAAUACUUCAUUUUCAUGAACACAGUCAGUUAUUUCUGUGACUUUAAUACAAUUGAAUCUGUGCAAAAGUCUUACUCCCAGAACAACGAGUGAAAGCACGAGAGCAGCCGACUUGUUUUUCAUGAAACCAUGUGAUAAAGUUUGCAGUGCUUUGCUGUUUCUUUUGGUUGUGUAUUAUACUGAGGCUGGGGUCUUCAGCUUGAAGCAUGAAACAAGCCAACUUUAUAAAUAUACAAUUUUGUUGUUGUCGCAGUUGUUUUAAAAUCAAUGUUAUGGAAUCAACACUGCUAUAGAGAUACUGUAUGAAUAUAAAUGGUCGUUGCUGUUUUUUACCAGAUGCGGCGGUGUGUACAUGAUGUUUUCUGAGCGGGGCUGGACUGGACUCUGUGUUUUUCUUUUUUUUUUUUUUUCUUUACUUCACCUGUACCAGAUUUCAAACAGAAUCAGACUCAAAUCAGACAAAUUGUUUUCAGAGCCCAAACAGGAUGACAGGCCACUCAGGAUGUUUAGAAAGUACGGAAGUUAAGAGCAGCCAUUCAAGCUGAUGAUAAUGUUAGGGUCAUUAUCAGUCAUUUAGCCUUAACGGUAAUAGGAGCAUUAAAUAAACUAUAUUCUUAACAAAACAGAAAGACGAUAAAGUCAUGACGACAAUAUGAACUACUGUAAAGGGGCACACAGUGUUUUCUGUUGUACUAAAUUCAUGUUUCUGGCUUUGGAAAGUGCAAUUUAGCCCCAGAAUUUAGCAACUGAAGAAAUGUACAUCCCUUAAAAGUUUGACAUGUGAUGUGACGUUAAGAUAAGCAAAAACAAAACAAAAAACAGUAUUGAGUUUAGAAAGUAAUCCCAGGUUCAUGAUGAUACAUCAGACCAUCCUUUAUAUUGAAACAUAGAACUCAUUCAUUACCGCAAAAUAUCUCGUUUGCUAGAUACCUGCCUUUUAAAAGAUAGGUACAACACCUGAUCUAUGAAUGCAAAGAAAAAUGUUCUUGGGAAAACAGACUUCGAGAAAGCUACAGUGGCCGCUCUCAGCUUCCGUACUUCAACAAUGACAUGGAACUUUUUUUCUGUUUUUCUUUAACUCGUGUAAGAAAACAAAAAGCCGGAGCUGCCGAAACCCUUUUGUCUUUGCAGAAAGUCCACGUUUGUAGCCUCAGUGUUGGUUGGUUAUAUUUAUAUAGGAACAAUGCUAGUGAUGCCUUGUUUUUUUGUACAGUUUUAUGUACAUGGAAGUGUAGGUUUUUAAAAAAUGAAGAUAAAAAAAACAGUAUAUAUAUAUUCAAACGCCGUGAAGGAAAUCUGAACCUGUAGGGUUUUGUUGUCUAAAGUACCGUAGGCUUUUUAAAUGUAGGAGUGAUGAGUCAGGCUCAGAGCGGAGGACGACGGCUUCUCUCCUCCAAUCACACACUGGCUUUACCGUUCUGUUCUGUCAUGUUCGUCCGAAGACAAACUGUACAUUUCUUUAGUUUCUUUGUUUUCGUUGUUUGUUUCUUUGGGGUCUUUGAGUUUUUUCUUAGAGGAAGUUGGGUGAUGUGUUUGUUUGAGCCUCAUCUGUUCUCUUUUGAUCAGCAUCCGCAUGUUUGACUUUAAAAAAAUAAUGUGGUCUUUUAUUUUUGCUGAGCAAAUCAAAGAAAUGAUAUCUUGUAAUUACUCCUUCCUUAUAGCUUUACAAUAAAAUACAUUCAGUCAAA